UAAAUACAUAUCACAGUUAAUCUUUUUUUAAUGGGGUAGAAGGUGUAGGACUACAAAUUGGGUGGACUACAAAUCCCAGGAGCUAAGAUAGUAUAAAAGGAAGUCAAACUUGGUGACUUGCUCUUUGUGUACCAUGUGCUAAGAAAAGCUGUUUGGUGUUUUUCAAGGCUGUCUAACAGCAGAUGAAAAGACCAAUUGAUUAAUGAACAGUAUAGCAGGCUAGAACUGAAUUGUAAAGUUAAGUGUCCUCAUGGGAGUUGUGUUGAGUGGUGCCUCUGAGAAUUAAACAGAUAUAUUUAAGAGUACAGAUGAUGCAUGAUUGCCAUUUACUUUACUGAACGCAUUGAUGGCUUAAUGGUUAUUUGUUUUCUGGUUUUUUUUAUUUAUCUUGGACCAACUAAUGACUGGGGUUUACUUUACCUUAUAUAUGUGGUGUACUUUGUUAAUGUGGGGGGGGGCAACUCGUUGUGGUUUGAGGGUAUGAUUUCCUUUUGCUGUGGAGUGCGAAUUGAACAGGUUUUGGUUUUACAGUACUUGUGAUUUGAGUGUGCACUUAUUUACAGAGUAACAACUACUAUUAUAUAGGUUUGGGAACCCUGUUGUCUGUAAUGGUUACAAGAGAGUUCUUUUUCUUUCCUUGUUUUUGUUUGU
This is a long non-coding RNA of Tachysurus fulvidraco (yellow catfish), 651 nucleotides long. RefSeq lists it as uncharacterized. The transcript has 3 exons. Lineage: Eukaryota; Metazoa; Chordata; Actinopteri; Siluriformes; Bagridae. The record is from RefSeq and is a predicted model, not a curated record.